CAAAACAUAGCUUAAUGAAAGCAUCUCGCUUACACCGAGAAGAUAUUUGUAAACCCGAGUUGUUUUGA
This 68-nucleotide transfer RNA is filed under the name Phyllodytes gyrinaethes. RNAcentral describes it as "tRNA-Val". It matches the Rfam family "tRNA". From Rfam's summary of the family: Transfer RNA (tRNA) molecules are approximately 80 nucleotides in length. Their secondary structure includes four short double-helical elements and three loops (D, anti-codon, and T loops). Further hydrogen bonds mediate the characteristic L-shaped molecular structure. tRNAs have two regions of fundamental functional importance: the anti-codon, which is responsible for specific mRNA codon recognition, and the 3' end, to which the tRNAs corresponding amino acid is attached (by aminoacyl-tRNA synthetases). tRNAs cope with the degeneracy of the genetic code in two manners: having more than one tRNA (with a specific anti-codon) for a particular amino acid; and 'wobble' base-pairing, i.e. permitting non-standard base-pairing at the 3rd anti-codon position. The record is from RNAcentral. Lineage: Eukaryota; Metazoa; Chordata; Amphibia; Anura; Hylidae.